Molecule: long non-coding RNA, 927 nt
Organism: Nerophis ophidion (straightnose pipefish)
Lineage: Eukaryota; Metazoa; Chordata; Actinopteri; Syngnathiformes; Syngnathidae
Exons: 2
Source: RefSeq, a predicted model, not a curated record
AUGUAUGUAUGAUAGUAUGAAUGAAUGAAUGAAUGGAAUGAUAGUAUCAAUUAAUCAAUUUAUGUAUGAUAGUAUGAAUUAAUGCAUGUAUGUAUGAUGGAUUAAAUUUAUGAUAGUGUGAACACAUGAUAAUAUGAACAAAUGAAUGAAUGUAUGUAUGAUAGUAUGAAUUAAUGUGUGUAUGAUAUUAAUGUAUGAAAGAAUGUAUGUAUGUAUGAAUCAAUGUAUGUAUGAUGGAUUGUAUGUAUGAUAAUUUGUAUGAUAGUAUGUAUGUAUGAUUGAAUGAAUGUUUGUAUGAUAGUAUGACUGAAUGUAUGUAUGUAUGAUAGUAUGAAUGAUAGUAUGUAUUAUGGUAUGUAUGUAUGAGAGUAUGCAUGUAUGGGAGUAUGUAUGUAUGAUAGUAUGUAUGUAUGAGAGUAUGUAUGAUAGUAUGUAUGUAUGAUAGUAUAUAUGUAUGAUAGUAUGUAUGUAUGAUAGUAUGUAUGUAUGAGAGUAUGUAUGAUAGUAUGUAUGUAUGAGAGUAUGUAUGAUAGUAUAUAUGUAUGAUAGUAUGUAUGUGUGGAGAGACGUAGACAACGAGCUGAUAGUGGGCUAGGAAUAACGGCUGUCCUACCCAAGAUGGAGGCCAGGAGGCGGAGCAUGCAGUAGAGAGGAGAGGCGUGACACGCCAGGAGGCGGAGCAUGCAGUAGAGAGGAGAGGCGUGACACACUCGGAGCGAUGCUGCAGCAAGAAUAAAAGGGGUGAAGGAGGCAGGAGUAGUAGGAGACAACCAGACGGAGGAACAGACGAGCGAGAACCACAGAGAGCCACAGAGCGACCGAGACGAGCACAUUCCAAUCACCCAGCGCUAGCAGAGAAGGAGGCACUGAAAAAAGCGACCGACUUACUGCCAACGACGUAUAUUUGAAAAAAUAAAGAGUCAAACC